Molecule: ribosomal RNA, 497 nt
Filed under: uncultured bacterium
Lineage: Bacteria
Description: partial 16S ribosomal RNA
Rfam family: Bacterial small subunit ribosomal RNA
Source: RNAcentral
GAUGAACGCUGGCGGCGUGCCUAAUACAUGCAAGUCGAACGCAUAGCGAAAGGUGCUUGCCCCUUUCAAGUGAGUGGCGAACGGGUGAGUAACACGUGGACAACCUGCCUCAAGGCUGGGGAUAACAUUUGGAAACAGAUGCUAAUACCGAAUAAAACUUAGUGUCGCAUGACACAAAGUUAAAAGGCGCUUCGGCGUCACCUAGAGAUGGAUCCGCGGUGCAUUAGUUAGUUGGUGGGGUAAAGGCCUACCAAGACAAUGAUGCAUAGCCGAGUUGAGAGACUGAUCGGCCACAUUGGGACUGAGACACGGCCCAAACUCCUACGGGAGGCUGCAGUAGGGAAUCUUCCACAAUGGGCGAAAGCCUGAUGGAGCAACGCCGCGUGUGUGAUGAAGGCUUUCGGGUCGUAAAGCACUGUUGUAUGGGAAGAACAGCUAGAAUAGGAAAUGAUUUUAGUUUGACGGUGCCAUACCAGAAAGGGACGGCUAAAUACGUG